CUACGGGGCGCAGCAGUGGGGAAUAUUGGACAAUGGGGGAAACCCUGAUCCAGCAAUGCCGCGUGUGUGAAGAAGGCCUGCGGGUUGUAAAGCACUUUCGGUUGGGAGGACUGCUUCUAGCACUAAUAUUGUUGGAAGUUGACGUUACCUUCAGAAGAAGCACCGGCUAACUCCGUGCCAGCAGCCGCGGUAAUACGGGGGUGCAAGCGUUACUCGGAAUUACUGGGCGUAAAGCGCGCGUAGGCGGCUAGAUCAGUCGGGUGUGAAAGCCCCGGGCUUAACCUGGGAACUGCAUCCGAUACUGUCUAGCUUGAGUACAGGAGAGGAGAGUGGAAUUCCACAUGUAGCGGUGAAAUGCGUAGAUAUGUGGAGGAACACCAAUGGCGAAGGCAGCUCUCUGGCCUGAUACUGACGCUGAGGUGCGAAAGCGUGGGGAGCAAACAGGAUUAGAUACCCUUGUAGUC
Molecule: ribosomal RNA, 464 nt
Filed under: uncultured bacterium
Lineage: Bacteria
Description: partial 16S ribosomal RNA
Rfam family: Bacterial small subunit ribosomal RNA
Source: RNAcentral